UGAACAAGCUAGGGGUGCCGUAUGGCUGAGAAGGAAAUUUCCUAACUCUUAGAACCUGAAUUAGUUAAUACUAACGUAGGGAAGCUUAAUUACUUGUUA
This 99-nucleotide non-coding RNA is filed under the name Clostridium tepidiprofundi. Its description in RNAcentral is "TPP sequence". It matches the Rfam family "TPP riboswitch aptamer (THI element)". From Rfam's summary of the family: Vitamin B(1) in its active form thiamin pyrophosphate (TPP) is an essential coenzyme that is synthesised by coupling of pyrimidine and thiazole moieties in bacteria. The previously detected thiamin-regulatory element, thi box was extended, resulting in a new, highly conserved RNA secondary structure, the THI element, which is widely distributed in eubacteria and also occurs in some archaea. The record is from RNAcentral. Lineage: Bacteria; Bacillati; Bacillota; Clostridia; Eubacteriales; Clostridiaceae. RNAcentral also lists the same sequence under 1 other name.